GUGAGUGUAGCUCAACGGUCAGAGCACUGGUCUGUGGCACCAGGGGUUGGGGGUUCAAUUCCCCUCACUCACCCCA
This 76-nucleotide transfer RNA is filed under the name Nitrospirota bacterium. Its description in RNAcentral is "Nitrospirae bacterium (groundwater metagenome) tRNA-His". It matches the Rfam family "tRNA". From Rfam's summary of the family: Transfer RNA (tRNA) molecules are approximately 80 nucleotides in length. The record is from RNAcentral. Lineage: Bacteria; Pseudomonadati; Nitrospirota.